Molecule: ribosomal RNA, 1634 nt
Filed under: Neisseria gonorrhoeae
Lineage: Bacteria; Pseudomonadati; Pseudomonadota; Betaproteobacteria; Neisseriales; Neisseriaceae
Description: 23S ribosomal RNA
Rfam family: Bacterial large subunit ribosomal RNA
Source: RNAcentral
UGACAUGAGUAGCGAUAAAGCGGGUGAAAAGCCCGCUCGCCGAAAGCCCAAGGUUUCCUACGCAACGUUCAUCGGCGUAGGGUAAGUCGGCCCCUAAGGCGAGGCAGAAAUGCGUAGUCGAUGGGAAACAGGUUAAUAUUCCUGUACUUGAUUCAAAUGCGAUGUGGGGACGGAGAAGGUUAGGUUGGCAAGCUGUUGGAAUAGCUUGUUUAAGCCGGUAGGUGGAAGACUUAGGCAAAUCCGGGUUUUCUUAACACCGAGAAGUGAUGACGAGUGUCUACGGACACGAAGCAACCGAUACCACGCUUCCAGGAAAAGCCACUAAGCUUCAGUUUGAAUCGAACCGUACCGCAAACCGACACAGGUGGGCAGAUGAGAAUUCUAAGGCGCUUGAGAGAACUCGGGAGAAGGAACUCGGCAAAUUGAUACCGUAACUUCGGGAGAAGGUAUGCCCUCUAAGGUUAAGGACUUGCUCCGUAAGCCCCGGAGGGUCGCAGAGAAUAGGUGGCUGCGACUGUUUAUUAAAAACACAGCACUCUGCCAACACGAAAGUGGACGUAUAGGGUGUGACGCCUGCCCGGUGCCGGAAGGUUAAUUGAAGAUGUGCAAGCAUCGGAUCGAAGCCCCGGUAAACGGCGGCCGUAACUAUAACGGUCCUAAGGUAGCGAAAUUCCUUGUCGGGUAAGUUCCGACCCGCACGAAUGGCGUAACGAUGGCCACACUGUCUCCUCCCGAGACUCAGCGAAGUUGAAGUGGUUGUGAAGAUGCAAUCUACCCGCUGCUAGACGGAAAGACCCCGUGAACCUUUACUGUAGCUUUGCAUUGGACUUUGAAGUCACUUGUGUAGGAUAGGUGGGAGGCUUGGAAGCAGAGACGCCAGUCUCUGUGGAGUCGUCCUUGAAAUACCACCCUGGUGUCUUUGAGGUUCUAACCCAGACCCGUCAUCCGGGUCGGGGACCGUGCAUGGUAGGCAGUUUGACUGGGGCGGUCUCCUCCCAAAGCGUAACGGAGGAGUUCGAAGGUUACCUAGGUCCGGUCGGAAAUCGGACUGAUAGUGCAAUGGCAAAAGGUAGCUUAACUGCGAGACCGACAAGUCGGGCAGGUGCGAAAGCAGGACAUAGUGAUCCGGUGGUUCUGUAUGGAAGGGCCAUCGCUCAACGGAUAAAAGGUACUCCGGGGAUAACAGGCUGAUUCCGCCCAAGAGUUCAUAUCGACGGCGGAGUUUGGCACCUCGAUGUCGGCAUCACAUCCUGGGGCUGUAGUCGGUCCCAAGGGUAUGGCUGUUCGCCAUUUAAAGUGGUACGUGAGCUGGGUUUAAAACGUCGUGAGACAGUUUGGUCCCUAUCUGCAGUGGGCGUUGGAAGUUUGACGGGGGCUGCUCCUAGUACGAGAGGACCGGAGUGGACGAACCUCUGGUGUACCGGUUGUAACGCCAGUUGCAUAGCCGGGUAGCUAAGUUCGGAAGAGAUAAGCGCUGAAAGCAUCUAAGCGCGAAACUCGCCUGAAGAUGAGACUUCCCUUGCGGUUUAACCGCACUAAAGGGUCGUUCGAGACCAGGACGUUGAUAGGUGGGGUGUGGAAGCGCGGUAACGCGUGAAGCUAACCCAUACUAAUUGCCCGUGAGGCUUGACUCU